GUAGGUGGCAAGCGUUGUCCGGGAUUAUUGGGCGUAAAGCGCGCGCAGGCGGUUCUUUAAGUCUGAUGUGAAAGCCCACGGCUCAACCGUGGAGGGUCAUUGGAAACUGGAGAACUUGAGUACAGAAGAGGAAAGCGGGAUUCCACGUGUAGCGGUGAAAUGCGUAGAGAUGUGGAGGAACACCAGUGGCGAAGGCGGCUUUCUGGUCUGUAACUGACGCUGAGGCGCGAAAGCGUGGGGAGCAAACAGGAUUAGAUACCCCGGUAGUCCACGCCGUAAACGAUGAGUGCUAAGUGUUAGGGGGUUUCCGCCCCCUUAGUGCUGCAGCUAACGCAUUAAGCACUCCGCCUGGGGAGUACGGCCGCAAGGCUG
This 372-nucleotide ribosomal RNA is filed under the name uncultured organism. RNAcentral describes it as "partial 16S ribosomal RNA". It matches the Rfam family "Bacterial small subunit ribosomal RNA", at positions 527 to 896 of the family's 1533-position model. The record is from RNAcentral.